UACGUAGGGGGCAAGCGUUAUCCGGAUUUACUGGGUGUAAAGGGAGCGUAGACGGAUGGACAAGUCUGAUGUGAAAGACUGGGGCUCAACCCCGGGACUGCAUUGGAAACUGCCCGUCUUGAGUGCCGGAGAGGUAAGCGGAAUUCCUAGUGUAGCGGUGAAAUGCGUAGAUAUUAGGAGGAACACCAGUGGCGAAGGCAGCUUACUGGACGGUAACUGACGUUGAGGCUCGAAAGCGUGGGGAGCAAACAGG
RNAcentral lists this ribosomal RNA (253 nucleotides) under Blautia luti. RNAcentral's name for it is "partial 16S ribosomal RNA". It matches the Rfam family "Bacterial small subunit ribosomal RNA", at positions 524 to 776 of the family's 1533-position model. Lineage: Bacteria; Bacillati; Bacillota; Clostridia; Lachnospirales; Lachnospiraceae. The record is from RNAcentral.